RNAcentral lists this ribosomal RNA (443 nucleotides) under uncultured bacterium. Its description in RNAcentral is "bacterial SSU rRNA". It matches the Rfam family "Bacterial small subunit ribosomal RNA", at positions 45 to 519 of the family's 1533-position model. The record is from RNAcentral.
UGGUCUAAGGGAUGCAUUCAGGGGGCCCGCARGGGCAACCGGCAAACGGGUGCGUAACACAUUGGUAACCUACCUCCGACUGGGGAAUAGCUCCGCGAAAGCGGAAUUAAUACCGCAUAUUCUCUGCCUAUUAUUUAGGUAGAGGAAAGCUCCGGCGGUCGGAGAGGGGCCUAUGGCCUAUCAGCUAGUUGGUGAGGUAAUAGCUCACCAAGGCAAUGACGGGUAGCGGGUGUGAGAGCACGACCCGCCUCACUGGGACUGAGACACUGCCCAGACUCCUACGGGAGGCUGCAGUCAAGAAUAUUCCUCAAUGGGCGAAAGCCUGAAGGAGCAAUGCCGCGUGGUCGAAGAAGCACCUCGGUGCGUAAAGACCUUUUAUAAGGGAAGAACAAAUGACGGUACCUUAUGAAUAAGGGGUCGCUAACUCUGUGUACGUGUACGUG